CAGUUGCCAUCGGGUGAAGCCGGGCACUCUGGAAGGACUGCCAUCGACAAGAUGGAGGAAGGUGGGGACGACGUCAAGUCAUCAUGGCCCUUAUGUCCAGGGCGACACACGUGCUACAAUGGCCGGCACAACGGGAAGCGAGUUCGCGAGGACGAGCGGAUCCCUUAAAGCCGGUCGCAGUUCGGAUUGAAGUCUGCAACUCGACUUCAUGAAGCUGGAAUCGCUAGUAAUCGCAGAUCAGCCAAGCUGCGGUGAAUACGUUCCCGGGCCUU
Molecule: ribosomal RNA, 272 nt
Filed under: uncultured Synergistaceae bacterium
Lineage: Bacteria; Thermotogati; Synergistota; Synergistia; Synergistales; Synergistaceae
Description: partial 16S ribosomal RNA
Rfam family: Bacterial small subunit ribosomal RNA
Source: RNAcentral